Grammomys surdaster is the source of this 542-nucleotide RNA transcript. It is a transcript of the gene named leucine-rich repeat extensin-like protein 5, with no coding region annotated. Lineage: Eukaryota; Metazoa; Chordata; Mammalia; Rodentia; Muridae. The transcript is spliced from 2 exons. The record is from RefSeq and is a predicted model, not a curated record.
GGAUUUUAAUCUCCACCUGGCUCAGAUGUUCAGACAGGAAGAAAGAAGGCAGAGAGAAGUUACCUUCUGUCUUAGGAUAUCUGCAAAGUCAGACAUAAGGGUCUGAGUCACUGAGACCUCAGCUACCACUUCAGUUGCUGUAUUCUCCAGGACUACAACCACCACCACCAAUACUUUCACUGCCUUGCCUACCACUGUUAAUCACCGUCACAAGGACCACGCUCACCAUCAGAACACCACCAUCCACAUCUGCCCCGCAGCCGUCAUCAAUCCUACCACUGCUGUCACCGCCAACCCUGUCAACCACUGCCUCCAUCAGUGCCACUCACCACAUCUCCAGUGCCAUCCCCAAUAACACCAUCACCCCCACCACUGACAUAUCCUGGCUGCCACUAUCAAUGUCACCACCACCACCACCAUCUCGACCACACUUCCUCUCCUAUUACCACCAAGUGGCUCAUUCAAUACUUUAUUUUAGUAUUUCAAAGCACGUUAAUAUAUUCAGUUAAUUCUUACAACAUUCCCAAGAGCCAGUCAUUAUU